AUUGAACGCUGGCGGCAGGCCUAACACAUGCAAGUCGAACGAGUGGCGGACGGGUGUGUCAUGUCUGGGAAACUGCCUGAUGGAGGGUGAUAACGACUGGACACGGUCGCUAAUACCGCAUACCAUGGGUAGUGCCCAGAUGGGUUUAGCUAGUAGGUGGGGUAAAGGCGCACCUAGGCGACGAUCCCUAGCUGGUCUGAGAGGAUGACCAGCCACACUGGAACUGAGACACGGUCCAGACUCCUACGAGAGGCAGCAGUGGGGAAUAUUGCACAAUGGGCGCAAGCCUGAUGCAGCCAUGCCGCGUGUAUGAAGAAGGCCUUCGGGUUGUAAAGUACUUUCAGCGGGGAGGCGUUACCCGCAGAAGAAGCACCGGCAAACUCCGUGCCAGCAGCCGCGGUAAUAC
This 406-nucleotide ribosomal RNA is filed under the name uncultured bacterium. RNAcentral describes it as "partial 16S ribosomal RNA". It matches the Rfam family "Bacterial small subunit ribosomal RNA", at positions 30 to 526 of the family's 1533-position model. The record is from RNAcentral.